Molecule: ribosomal RNA, 497 nt
Filed under: uncultured bacterium
Lineage: Bacteria
Description: partial 16S ribosomal RNA
Rfam family: Bacterial small subunit ribosomal RNA
Source: RNAcentral
GAUGAACGCUGGCGGCGUGCCUAAUACAUGCAAGUCGAGCGAACAGACGAGGAGCUUGCUCCUCUGACGUUAGCGGCGGACGGGUGAGUAACACGUGGAUAACCUACCUAUAAGACUGGGAUAACUUCGGGAAACCGGAGCUAAUACCGGAUAAUAUAUUGAACCGCAUGGUUCAAUAGUGAAAGACGGUUUUGCUGUCACUUAUAGAUGGAUCCGCGCCGCAUUAGCUAGUUGUUAAGGUAACGGCUUACCAAGGCAACGAUGCGUAGCCGACCUGAGAGGGUGAUCGACCACACUGGAACUGAGACACGGUCCAGACUCCGACGGGAGGCUGCAGUAGGGAAUCUUCCGCAAUGGGCGAAAGCGUGACGGAGCAACGCCGCGUGAGUGAUGAAGGUCGUCGGAUCGUAAAACUCUGUUAUUAGGGAAGAACAAAUGUGUAAGUAACUAUGCACGUCUUGACGGUACCUAAUCAGAAAGCCACGGCUAACUACGUG